UGAAACAUCUAAGUACCCGGAGGAGAAGAAAACAAAAGUGAUUCCGCUAGUAGUGGCGAGCGAACGCGGAAUAGCCCAAACCAAUGUUGUUACGGCAAUAUUGGGGUUGUAGGACCACGAUAUUUAAUGCUUAGAGAAUUAGAACUGUUUGGAAAGACAGACCAGAGAGGGUGAUAGUCCCGUAUAGGUAAAUUAAGUUAUUGAUAGUGGUAUCCUGAGUAGUGCGGGACACGUGUAAUCCUGUAUGAAUUUGGCGGGACCAUCCGCUAAGGCUAAAUACUCCUGAGAGACCGAUAGUGAACUAGUACCGUGAGGGAAAGGCGAAAAGAACCCCGGUGAGG
This 341-nucleotide ribosomal RNA is filed under the name uncultured Amoebophrya. Its description in RNAcentral is "partial Bacterial large subunit ribosomal RNA". It matches the Rfam family "Bacterial large subunit ribosomal RNA", at positions 194 to 534 of the family's 2925-position model. The record is from RNAcentral. Lineage: Eukaryota; Dinophyceae; Syndiniales.